AUUGAACGCUGGCGGCAGGCCUAACACAUGCAAGUCGAGCGGAUGAAGGGAGCUUGCUCCUGGAUUCAGCGGCGGACGGGUGAGUAAUGCCUAGGAAUCUGCCUGGUAGUGGGGGAUAACGUCCGGAAACGGGCGCUAAUACCGCAUACGUCCUGAGGGAGAAAGUGGGGGAUCUUCGGACCUCACGCUAUCAGAUGAGCCUAGGUCGGAUUAGCUAGUUGGUGGGGUAAAGGCCUACCAAGGCGACGAUCCGUAACUGGUCUGAGAGGAUGAUCGGUCACAUUGGAACUGGAACACGGUCCAGAGUCCUACGGGAGGCAGCAGUGGGGAAUAUUGGACAAUGGGCGAAAGCCUGAUCCAGCCAUGCCGCGUGUGUGAAGAAGGUCUUCGGAGUGUAAAGCACGUUAAGUUGGGAGGAAGGGCAGUAAGUUAAUACCUUGCUGUUGUGACGUUACCAACAGAAUAAGCACCGGCUAACUUCGUG
RNAcentral lists this ribosomal RNA (484 nucleotides) under uncultured bacterium. RNAcentral's name for it is "partial 16S ribosomal RNA". It matches the Rfam family "Bacterial small subunit ribosomal RNA", at positions 30 to 507 of the family's 1533-position model. The record is from RNAcentral.